GUUGAACGCUGGCGGCAGGCUUAACACAUGCAAGUCGAGCGGAGAUGAGGUGCUUGCACCUUAUCUUAGCGGCGGACGGGUGAGUAAUGCUUAGGAAUCUGCCUAUUAGUGGGGGACAACAUUCCGAAAGGAAUGCUAAUACCGCAUACGUCCUACGGGAGAAAGCAGGGGAUCUUCGGACCUGGCGCUAAUAGAUGAGCCUAAGUCGGAUUAGCUAGUUGGUGGGGUAAAGGCCUACCAAGGCGACGAUCUGUAGCGGGUCUGAGAGGAUGAUCCGCCUCACUGGGACUGAGACACGGCCCAGACUCCUACGGGAGGCAGCAGUGGGGAAUAUUGGACAAUGGGGGGAACCCUGAUCCAGCCAUGCCGCGUGUGUGAAGAAGGCCUUAUGGUUGUAAAGCACUUUAAGCGAGGAGGAGGCUACUGAGACUAAUACUCUUGGAUAGUGGACGUUACUCGCAGAAUAAGCACCGGCUAACUCUGUGCCAGCCGCCGCAGUAA
This 501-nucleotide ribosomal RNA is filed under the name uncultured bacterium. Its description in RNAcentral is "partial 16S ribosomal RNA". It matches the Rfam family "Bacterial small subunit ribosomal RNA", at positions 28 to 523 of the family's 1533-position model. The record is from RNAcentral.